UUGUAAGGUUUUCUCGUACCGUU
Molecule: non-coding RNA, 23 nt
Filed under: Arabidopsis thaliana (thale cress)
Lineage: Eukaryota; Viridiplantae; Streptophyta; Magnoliopsida; Brassicales; Brassicaceae
Source: RNAcentral